This is a long non-coding RNA of Canis lupus familiaris (dog), 518 nucleotides long. RefSeq lists it as uncharacterized. The transcript has 2 exons. The record is from RefSeq and is a predicted model, not a curated record. NCBI's taxonomy places the organism in Eukaryota, Metazoa, Chordata, Mammalia, Carnivora, Canidae.
ACAAAGGGUUGUGUCAUAAUUGACCUCUGUGUAGGCACUGAAGAAUCUUUUCAUAAAUGUGAAAGCUGGCGGGCCACCUACUACGACAAAAAUAGACACACCUGAAAACUGAUAUUGAACUACAACAGUAAGCUAUGCUUUCAGGAGAGAUACCUGAUAUGUUCCUUGGCUUGUGUGAAAGGUGAAACAGCACCUUGCUUUACCAAAUUAACAGUACUUUUUAUUCCACUGUCACCUAAUCCUCUGCACUAGAAUAAGAGACGGACACAAAAGUCGUAGUCCACCGAGGAUCCAUGAGAUGCUGCCCUGAAGUCUUUCAGUCUUUCAGGCUCUUCUGUUUUCAAGUUUCCUUAGAGUGUGUAUGACUACUUACGGAGCUGAUGCGGUAUCUCUGAUAUUAAAAUCAUAUAUGCACACACAUAUAUCUCACGCAUAAUAACAUUAUGUAUACAUACUUUUUAAAUCUCUACAAUUGAAUUUUUCAUUGUCAAAAACAAAUGAACAGAAGGAAAAAAAAA